RNAcentral lists this ribosomal RNA (465 nucleotides) under Vreelandella stevensii. RNAcentral's name for it is "partial 16S ribosomal RNA". It matches the Rfam family "Bacterial small subunit ribosomal RNA", at positions 338 to 795 of the family's 1533-position model. Lineage: Bacteria; Pseudomonadati; Pseudomonadota; Gammaproteobacteria; Oceanospirillales; Halomonadaceae. The record is from RNAcentral.
CCUACGGGUGGCUGCAGUGGGGAAUAUUGGACAAUGGGCGAAAGCCUGAUCCAGCCAUGCCGCGUGUGUGAAGAAGGCCUUCGGGUUGUAAAGCACUUUCAGUGGGGAAGAAAGCCUUGGGGCUAAUACCCUCGAGGAAGGACAUCACCCACAGAAGAAGCACCGGCUAACUCCGUGCCAGCAGCCGCGGUAAUACGGAGGGUGCGAGCGUUAAUCGGAAUUACUGGGCGUAAAGCGCGCGUAGGCGGUCUGAUAAGCCGGUUGUGAAAGCCCCGGGCUCAACCUGGGAACGGCAUCCGGAACUGUCAGGCUAGAGUGCAGGAGAGGAAGGUAGAAUUCCCUGUGUAGCGGUGAAAUGCGUAGAGAUCGGGAGGAAUACCAGUGGCGAAGGCGACCUUCUGGACUGACACUGACGCUGAGGUGCGAAAGCGUGGGUAGCAAACAGGAUUAGAUACCCGAGUAGUC